This 113-nucleotide ribosomal RNA is filed under the name Porotermes adamsoni (Australian dampwood termite). Lineage: Eukaryota; Metazoa; Arthropoda; Insecta; Blattodea; Termopsidae. The record is from RNAcentral.
AACGGCCAUACCAUGUUGAAAACACCGGUUCUCUUCUGAUCACUGAAGUUAACAAACAUUGUGUAUGGUUAGUAAUUGGAUGGGUGACCGCUUGAGAACACCACGUGCUGUUG